Molecule: ribosomal RNA, 502 nt
Filed under: uncultured bacterium
Lineage: Bacteria
Description: partial 16S ribosomal RNA
Rfam family: Bacterial small subunit ribosomal RNA
Source: RNAcentral
AUUGAACGCUGGCGGCAGGCUUAACACAUGCAAGUCGAGCGGGGUGAUGGUGCUUGCACUAUCACUUAGCGGCGGACGGGUGAGUAAUGCUUAGGAAUCUGCCUAUUAGCGGGGGACAACAUCUCGAAAGGGAUGCUAAUACCGCAUACGUCCUACGGGAGAAAGCAGGGGAUCUUUAUGACCUUGCGCUAAUAGAUGAGCCUAAGUCGGAUUAGCGAGUUGGUGGGGUAAAGGGCAAGCAAGGCGACGAUCUGUAGCGGGUCUGAGAGGAGGAUCCGCCACACUGGGACUGAGACACGGCCCAGACUCCUACGGGAGGCAGCAGUGGGGAAUAUUGGACAAUGGGGGGAACCCUGAUCCAGCCAUGCCGCGUGUGUGAAGAAGGCCUUAUGGUUGUAAAGUACUUUAAGCGAGGAGGAGGCUCUUUUGGUUAAUACCCAGAAUGAGUGGACGUUACUCGCAGAAUAAGCACCGGCUAACUCUGUGCCAGCCGCCGCCGUAA